CAAAGGAAUUGACGGGACCGCACAAGCGGUGGAUGAUGUGGAUUAAUUCGAUGCAACGCGAAAACCUUACCUACCCUUGACAUGUCUGGAACCUUGGUGAGAGCCGAGGGUGCCUUCGGGAGCCAGAACACAGGUGCUGCAUGGCUGUCGUCAGCUCGUGUCGUGAGAUGUUGGGUUAAGUCCCGCAACGAGCGCAACCCUUGUCACUAGUUGCCAUCAUUUAGUUGGGCACUCUAGUGAGACUGCCGGUGACAAACCGGAGGAAGGUGGGGAUGACGUCAAGUCCUCAUGGCCCUUAUGGGUAGGGCUUCACACGUCAUACAAUGGUCGGUACAGAGGGUUGCCAACCCGCGAGGGGGAGCUAAUCCCACAAAGCCGAUCGUAGUCCGGAUCGCAGUCUGCAACUCGACUGCGUGAAGUCGGAAUCGCUAGUAAUCGUGGAUCAGCCUGUCACGGUGAAUACGUUCCCGGGUCUU
RNAcentral lists this ribosomal RNA (476 nucleotides) under uncultured Thauera sp. Its description in RNAcentral is "bacterial SSU rRNA". It matches the Rfam family "Bacterial small subunit ribosomal RNA", at positions 902 to 1382 of the family's 1533-position model. Lineage: Bacteria; Pseudomonadati; Pseudomonadota; Betaproteobacteria; Rhodocyclales; Zoogloeaceae. The record is from RNAcentral.